Molecule: ribosomal RNA, 469 nt
Filed under: uncultured bacterium
Lineage: Bacteria
Description: partial 16S ribosomal RNA
Rfam family: Bacterial small subunit ribosomal RNA
Source: RNAcentral
GACGAACGCUGGCGGCGUGCUUAACACAUGCAAGUCGAACGGAAAGGCCCUGCUUUUGUGGGGUGCUCGAGUGGCGAACGGGUGAGUAACACGUGAGUAACCUGCCCUUGACUUUGGGAUAACUUCAGGAAACUGGGGCUAAUACCGGAUAGGAGCUCCUGCUGCAUGGUGGGGGUUGGAAAGUUUCGGCGGUUGGGGAUGGACUCGCGGCUUAUCAGCUUGUUGGUGGGGUAGUGGCUUACCAAGGCUUUGACGGGUAGCCGGCCUGAGAGGGUGACCGGCCACAUUGGGACUGAGAUACGGCCCAGACUCCUACGGGAGGCAGCAGUGGGGAAUAUUGCACAAUGGGCGGAAGCCUGAUGCAGCAACGCCGCGUGCGGGAUGGCGGCCUUCGGGUUGUAAACCGCUUUCGCCUGUGACGAAGCGUGAGUGACGGUAAUGGGUAAAGAAGCACCGGCUAACUACGUGC